UGGGGAAUAUUGGACAAUGGGCGAAAGCCUGAUCCAGCCAUGCCGCGUGUGUGAAGAAGGUCUUCGGAUUGUAAAGCACUUUAAGUUGGGAGGAAGGGCAGUAAGCGAAUACCUUGCUGUUUUGACGUUACCGACAGAAUAAACACCGGCUAACUCUGUGCCAGCAGCCGCGGUAAUACAGAGGGUGCAAGCGUUAAUCGGAAUUACUGGGCGUAAAGCGCGCGUAGGUGGUUCGUUAAGUUGAAUGUGAAAGCCCCGGGCUCAACCUGGGAACUGCAUCCAAAACUGGCGAGCUAGAGUAGGGCAGAGGGUGGUGGAAUUUCCUGUGUAGCGGUGAAAUGCGUAGAUAUAGGAAGGAACACCAGUGGCGAAGGCGACCACCUGGGCUCAUACUGACACUGAGGUGCGAAAGCAUGGGGAGCAAACAGG
RNAcentral lists this ribosomal RNA (429 nucleotides) under Pseudomonadota bacterium. Its description in RNAcentral is "Proteobacteria bacterium partial 16S ribosomal RNA". It matches the Rfam family "Bacterial small subunit ribosomal RNA", at positions 355 to 776 of the family's 1533-position model. Lineage: Bacteria; Pseudomonadati; Pseudomonadota. The record is from RNAcentral.